This is a long non-coding RNA of Neoarius graeffei (lesser salmon catfish), 1278 nucleotides long. RefSeq lists it as uncharacterized. Lineage: Eukaryota; Metazoa; Chordata; Actinopteri; Siluriformes; Ariidae. The transcript is spliced from 10 exons. The record is from RefSeq and is a predicted model, not a curated record.
AGAUUUCCAAACCUGAGAAAAACUAUGGAGGUAUUGCUGUGUCUACCUCGCAGCAAUGCUGACUGUGAGAGGGUAUUCUCACAGGUAAUCUCUCUCUCAGCCAAUUUCUAUUAACCCUGCUCUAAGAUAUUGAGAAUGCUGACCGGAUUGAUGACAGCCAGUUUGGCCAGAUGACUAACGACUAUCAAAACACCAUGCAAGUUGCAGUACAAACGAGGUCACCUGAUGCCCAACCUACAAGGCCCACAGACCUGCUGAGCGGUUUACGGCCUGUACCCACUUACAGCCCAGUGUCCAGCCAACCAGUCAGUCAUCAGUCAUCCGGCCAAACUGGCUUUCAAAACACCAUGCAAGUUGCAGUACAGUCACCUGAUGCCCAACCUUCAGCAUUUGAAAGGGAGAUUCUUAUACAAGUGAACACCAUCCGGGAGACCCAGCUGCUAAUCCUCAUGCAGCUACAACAGCUCAGUAACACCGGGGUCAGUGGGGCAGCUCCUGACCCAAGAAAGUUUAGGCUCCCUCUCAAGACACCAGAAGACCUUAAACACCUUGAGCAAAUCUUAUAGACAGAGGAGGAGAAGAAGAAGAACUUGUGUUUCGCUGGACAAACAACGAGCGAGCUACAGCGCGCGUACGGCUUAACCAGAUCUUGUGCUAUGGACCCUUUUCACGUGACGUCACGACAAACGCGGCCGCCAUUUUGGACGUGUACUACCAGUAGUUUACCACAGCCAACAUUGAGGAAUGGCAGCAAAGAAAGUUUUUACUUUCAGCAAGACUUCCAUCAUGCCACUAUAUUGUUGUGCACCUGGAUGUAGUAACCAUCAACAAACAAGGCAAGGUUUAUCAUUUUAUCGGAUCCCAACGGAGAAGAUGGAUAGCGGCCAUUAACAGAUUGGCAGCCCUCGGCAUACCAGCGCUUGUGUACUGACCACUUUGUUGGAGACUGUUCUCCUGGGAACGGUGGGGGGAUUGUCACUUAAAGAUACAAUCUGGCGUAUCCUGAAAAGAACAAUUGACACCUCCCUGGCAAAACGUACAAACUGGAGUGGGGCGAAUCAAAAAGUAGCCUUUAAAGGCCUGCUUUUAAAAAAUGUGAUCGUGGAUGCAGUCCGCUCAAAUACUCUCACCCAAGCCGCAACAGAUAAGGAAAUAGAGAUCCUUAUCAUUAGAUGGCUUCAACUUGCCGCGGACAGAGAUGGUGGCAGAAGCCGGAGAGCAAGAUCUCUCUCACACACACACACAUCGUAAAUUCAUUAAAAUGUAAAUCCAAAUUCA